CAAAGGCGUUCGCACCUACAAAGCCGGAGAUGCACCUGCAAACAAGGCAGUCCCCCUCGCCUGCAACUCCCCCCGGGCGGCACUUUAUUUGCAAAGCUGCGUAAUUGGUUUAAGCUUGUGGGGAAAGAAGGAGAGACAGAGAAACCAUGCGAGUCACCGUGUUGAGACAUAAUACUAUGGGCUCCCAAUAAAUACGGACAGAGGCCUGAAUGCGGAUCCACUGAUAUUAACCUCCACUUGGCAAACAUCAGAAUUAAGUCAAAUCCUCGAAACAUACAAAACUCUGGAAUCAACAGAGGAGAACAACAAAUGAAAAUAUGUCUUGAAGGAAAUAAAAUAUAUAAAAGCACUGGAUUAAA
Long non-coding RNA from Melospiza melodia melodia, 359 nucleotides. RefSeq lists it as uncharacterized. The transcript has 3 exons. The record is from RefSeq and is a predicted model, not a curated record. NCBI's taxonomy places the organism in Eukaryota, Metazoa, Chordata, Aves, Passeriformes, Passerellidae.